RNAcentral lists this ribosomal RNA (254 nucleotides) under uncultured bacterium. RNAcentral describes it as "partial 16S ribosomal RNA". It matches the Rfam family "Bacterial small subunit ribosomal RNA", at positions 524 to 776 of the family's 1533-position model. The record is from RNAcentral.
UACGUAGGGGGCGAGCGUUGUCCUGAUUUAUUGGGCGUAAAGAGCUCGUAGGUGGUUCGCUAAGUCGGAUGUGAAAUCUCCAAGCUCAACUUGGAGCGGUCAUUCGAUACUGGCGUGACUUGAGUACGGUAGGGGACCACGGAAUUCCUGGUGUAGCGGUGAAAUGCACAGAUAUCAGGAGGAACACCGGUGGCGAAGGCGGUGGUCUGGGCCGUAACUGAUGCUGAGGCGCGAAAGCCAGGGGAGCAAACGGG